AAUGAACGCUGGCGGCAUGCCUAACACAUGCAAGUCGAACGAAGGCUUCGGCCUUAGUGGCGCACGGGUGCGUAACGCGUGGGAAUCUGCCCCUUGGUUCGGAAUAACAGUUAGAAAUGACUGCUAAUACCGGAUGAUGACGUAAGUCCAAAGAUUUAUCGCCGAGGGAUGAGCCCGCGUAGGAUUAGCUAGUUGGUGUGGUAAGAGCGCACCAAGGCGACGAUCCUUAGCUGGUCUGAGAGGAUGAUCAGCCACACUGGGACUGAGACACGGCCCAGACUCCUACGGGAGGCAGCAGUGGGGAAUAUUGGACAAUGGGCGAAAGCCUGAUCCAGCAAUGCCGCGUGAGUGAUGAAGGCCUUAGGGUUGUAAAGCUCUUUUACCCGGGAUGAUAAUGACAGUACCGGGAGAAUAAGCUCCGGCUAACUCCGU
RNAcentral lists this ribosomal RNA (432 nucleotides) under uncultured bacterium. RNAcentral describes it as "partial 16S ribosomal RNA". It matches the Rfam family "Bacterial small subunit ribosomal RNA", at positions 29 to 506 of the family's 1533-position model. The record is from RNAcentral.